AGGGUCUGUCUGUCUGUCUGAUGCUUUUGCCGGGGACAGAAUGGAGUCUUAGAACUUAGAUAACAGAACUGUCAGAAACAGAUACUCUCAGCAAGCAUCUACCAUCAUUAACUAUAAUGCCUCGCCUAGCACUUGGAAGAUACUCUUCAACAGAGUUAAUGGGCGCCCUGCAAAGUUUGCCCAAGAAGAUAAGUGCUGAUAUUAACAGAUGAGAUGUGUCUUAUGGGAUCACUUCCAGGAAACCUGGUGGCCAUUCUGGAAUCCUGAAAAAUAUGCCAUGGCCAUCUGAUCAGGAGUUGCCACAAGAGUCAACAUUAGCCAGGAAUUCUGGUGGCAAGUGUUAUCCAGGCUUGGAAGGUGUGCACCAAAGACAGAGGAGCAAUGAAUGGUCAAUUUGACCCUAUAUUUACAAACAUGUUCAUCAAGUGCCAUAUGGACAAAACAGUUCCUGGUAAAAAUUUGGACAACAAUUAACAUAAGCACUGCAGGAGAUCCCAACUGUUGGCCUCUAAAAAGAAGUUAAUCAAUGGCAUAUGUGUUUAUUUAUCCCAACAUUCCCUUUUAAUUAACAGUUCUGAAAGGUGUACUUGGUUAUGACUAUUGUGUUCUAAUAAAACGGAGAAAUUCUAAAUAGGUUCAGUGAAGUUUCAGUUCAAAACAUAUUAAAUAAAAUAUUUCUAGGAAAAAAAUCUGCUAAGGAGUUAUCUCAUCAUGAAUAACAUUUAUUCUGGCCUCAAUUAAUACUAGAGAUUAGCCAGAGUAGUGAAGUUUAUAUUCAGAUCUAGAAUCAGAUUUUAGUGCAAUGUUCCCUGAAGUGCAGAGUGCUUGGGUUGGUGCUCCAGCUCGGUCCAUUUUAGAAAUGUUUGAUUGUAAAGUUUGUGUCUGUAGUUCAGAAUUUCAAGAAGGGAAAGGAAUGAGAUGUCAAAUUCUGUGUUCUGGUUUGAGCCUAUCUGUGACAGAAUAUACGUCUGUGUUUGCAGCCUACACACUAUUGUCAUUGUUUUGGUACAAGGCAAGCCUUGUGAGGUAUCAUUAAAAACUCAUAAUUGCUUAUCAAUAAUACCAUGGCAAAAUGCAUGUAAUAGAGUUAUAUGUGAAGUUUUAAACAUAAAUUGAGAUCAUGACUAAAAGUAUGUUUCUAGAGAAGUCUGGGAAAAGGCCAAAAGGCCAGUUUCUUGAGACAAAGAGUAAGCUGUCUCAGCCAGGUAUAAACAAGACUGAUGGACCAUUACCAGUUAACUGGCCAUUCUUUGUCAGGAAAGGGGGCAUGGAUGAAAAAUCUACAUUUUAGCAAAGAGUUUCCUUCCACAUAAACUGCCUGUCACCUUGCUUCCAGCUGGAAAUUCUCAAUGGGGAGGGACAAACACCCCAAGGCACCUUCCCCCACCCCCACUCAUCACAUUCAUUGCACCUGAGGCAACAACAGAAGCCUUCAUUGGACUCUGGGAGAAGGAGUCAUUAAGAUUGCUGAGA
Long non-coding RNA from Dermochelys coriacea (leatherback sea turtle), 1473 nucleotides. RefSeq lists it as uncharacterized. The record is from RefSeq and is a predicted model, not a curated record. NCBI's taxonomy places the organism in Eukaryota, Metazoa, Chordata, Testudines, Dermochelyidae. The transcript is spliced from 4 exons.